Molecule: ribosomal RNA, 420 nt
Filed under: Cyclopelta obscura
Lineage: Eukaryota; Metazoa; Arthropoda; Insecta; Hemiptera; Dinidoridae
Description: partial 16S ribosomal RNA
Source: RNAcentral
AAAAAACAUGUCCUAUUGUUAAUUAUUUUAUUUUAGGUCUGUCCUGCCCUAUGAGUUUAUAUCUUGAAUGGCCGCGGUAAUUUGACCGUGCGAAGGUAGCAUAAUCAUUUGUCUAUUAAUUGUAGGCUUGUAUGAAUGGUUUAAUGUAAUAUUAUCUUUCUUUGUUUUAUAAUUGUGAACUUAAUAUUUUAGUGAAAAAGCUUAAAUUUAUUUGGAGGACGAGAAGACCCUAUAGAAUUUUAUUUACUGUUUUUUAAUCAUUUUUGGUAAAUCAAUAUAUGGUUUAAUAUUUAGUAAAUUUUGUUGGGGCGACAUGGAAAUUUUUUUAACUUUCUGUAUUGAUAUUGUUAUUGAUUUAUAUACUAAAGAUCCUUUAUUAUGGAUUAUUAGAUUAAAUUACCUUAGGGAUAACAGCGUAAU